Drosophila arizonae is the source of this 209-nucleotide long non-coding RNA. Lineage: Eukaryota; Metazoa; Arthropoda; Insecta; Diptera; Drosophilidae. The record is from RefSeq and is a predicted model, not a curated record.
GCACAUAUAGACUUAAAAAUUUCAUUUAAACGCCAUUUGUACUUACGGCUUCACGAGAAAACGUGUUGUAGGAGUCGAAGGAGUUGUAUGGUGAUAACGACAACGAAAACGUGCGAAGUAGAGCAGAGAGUUGAUAAACGAACGGUUGACCAACUAGUCGAAUUCGUGGGUCAGUUGUGAUAUAUUUCUUACUUUCAAUAACAACAACA